GUGCUUGCUUUGGCAGCACAUAUACUAAAAUUGGGAUUAUACAGAAAAUAUUUGCAUGGGCCCUGUGCAAGGAUGGCAUGCAGAUUUCUAAAGUUUUCCAUAUUAAA
Molecule: small nuclear RNA, 107 nt
Organism: Gracilinanus agilis (Agile Gracile Mouse Opossum)
Lineage: Eukaryota; Metazoa; Chordata; Mammalia; Didelphimorphia; Didelphidae
Source: RefSeq, a predicted model, not a curated record